UGCAGAGCUGCACCAUUUGUGCAGUUACACAUGUACCUAGGGCAGUGAUGAUUGUCUCGUUCCACCAUGUCACCUACCCUGUGCCCCUCCCCACACAGGAUUAGGGCAAAGGGGACCUGGCGUGAAGGAGACACCCAGGUGGCAGUGGGUAAAGACAGAGUUGCUGUUACGUCUGCUUAUUAGCCCAGUCUUAAAGCGCACGCCCAGGUCAUGCCUGGCUAGGGACACUGAGCUGCAACAUUAGGGGGACAGCUUUUCUGCCUGCUUGUUGGUGGGAUUGCCGCUCAUAUUAGCAACAUUUAGUGGGUUUAACUGAAGAGUAAAAACGCCAUGACCCGAAAGGCCGUUUAGGAAUCACUGGCACCACGAAUGCCUUCUUCAUUUUUGUUCUCCGGGCUUCUCAGUGGAAUCCCCCCCUCAUUUUUUAAUUGGCGAUUUGUAGUCACACGUUAUGGUAGGAUUUGUUGUUACAUAUUUGUUCAUGAACACAGUAACAGUAUCAUUCCUCAGCACUUCCCUUUUGCUCCCUGCCUCCCUCCCCUGGCCCCUUCAUCUGCUCCAGUGUCUCCCUUUAGUUUUACGAGGGGCACCCCCACCCCCCACUUUCUUUUGGGUUCUCUGCUAGUAGAGGCUACAGGUACACACUAUUCUCCGACCACCUGAGAACGUAGGACACAGUUGCCAGUUAGGAAAAGGAAAUUAUUG
Molecule: long non-coding RNA, 705 nt
Filed under: Marmota monax (woodchuck)
Lineage: Eukaryota; Metazoa; Chordata; Mammalia; Rodentia; Sciuridae
Source: RNAcentral